AUGUUUGAUGGAAUUGAUCAGAUGCUUCGGGGAGUCAGGCAUGUGCCAGGGCUAAGGAGGAAUCUAAUUUUGCUUGGUGUUCUUCAUGAUGGUGGUAUGGAAUUCUGUUGUGAUCGAGAUAAGAAGACCGUGAAAAUCAUGGAAGAUGGGGUGACUAUGAUGAUAGGAGAGAGGACGGCUUCGCAUCUUUACAAGUUGCAAGGGAGCACUAUUGUCGAUGGAGCCAUGGAGAGUGGAGCUACAGGAGUAGCAGUGGAGUCACGGUGGCGGCGGGUCUGGCCCGUCGGGUAG
Molecule: ribosomal RNA, 291 nt
Filed under: Triticum aestivum (bread wheat)
Lineage: Eukaryota; Viridiplantae; Streptophyta; Magnoliopsida; Poales; Poaceae
Description: partial small subunit ribosomal RNA
Source: RNAcentral